This 331-nucleotide ribosomal RNA is filed under the name uncultured Actinomycetes bacterium. Its description in RNAcentral is "bacterial SSU rRNA". It matches the Rfam family "Bacterial small subunit ribosomal RNA", at positions 28 to 351 of the family's 1533-position model. The record is from RNAcentral. Lineage: Bacteria; Bacillati; Actinomycetota; Actinomycetes.
GACGAACGCUGGCGGCGUGCUUAACACAUGCAAGUCGAACGAGAAAGCACCUUCGGGUGUGAGUACAGUGGCGAACGGGUGAGUAACACGUGGGCAACCUGCCCUGGAGACUGGGAUAACGUUCCGAAAGGGACGCUAAUACCGGAUGACGCGCGAUCUGCCAAGUAGGUCGCGCCAAAUGGUAGCUUCGGCUUCUACUCUGGGAUGGGCCCGCGCCGGAUUAGCUAGUUGGUGAGGUAAGAGCUUACCAAGGCAACGAUCCGUAGCUGGUCUGAGAGGAUGAUCAGCCACACUGGGACUGAGACACGGCCCAGACUCCUACGGGAGGCUG